CCUGUGCCCGGACCAGAGACUCAAAGCUGGGUUUGAAGUAAUCGAUGCGGCUGCUGUAAAAUUUGGGCAUUUCCUCCAGGAGCUGCUUGUUUUUGGCUUCAAAGUCCUCCUUCACCGGGCGCAGCUCCUCCCGGGCCUGGGAGAGGAGAGGCUGUGAGUCAGACACCUGGGAAAACGCUCUUCCUUUGGGAAUGCCUUCAAAGAGGCCACCCUGGGACAGAGGAAUGCUCUGCUUUGACCUGAGCACAAGCAGGGGGAGCCUGGUGGGACCCAUGGGAUUGUCCAAGGGAACCUAGUGAUCAGCUAAUGGGACCUGCUGGGAAGCUGUGGGACAAUCCAACACAGCCUGGUGGGACCCAAGUGACCAUCCAAUGGAGCCUGGUGGGACCAAGUGACCAGUUAAUGGAAUAAUAGAACCUGGUGGGACCCAAGUGACCAUCCAAUGGAACUUGGUGGGAUAAAGUGACCGGUUAAUGGAACCUGGUGGGAUCAAGUGACUAUCCACUGGAGCUUGGUGGGAACCAAGCUCUGACCCUGCAGAGCCACGGGACACCCAGAGAGGCUCUGAGCCAGCUGGUCUUCCCUCCUUUGGAAAAACAUGGACAAAAACCAUCCCUAAAGCUCAGUCAGGCUGGAGAACGUCCCUGGCCAUGUCCAUGACCCCUCUCCCUGCAAUUCCCAGGACCAUCUCCCCAGGAUCCUGCCCCCACCACCCCUUUUGCCCGUGACCUUCAGCUCAGUCUGUCCAACUGGCUCCUUCCAACAGAAGCGUGGGGAGAAAGGGAAAUGUCUCAGGGAUGGUGUGGAAAAGGGCAGGAGGGGGUGGGCUGUGAAAUAUUAGACUGGUUCAAGUCUGCCACUUAAUCCCGGUGCCAUUCCAGAGGGAGGGGGGUGCAGGGGAUCCGAGCCCGGCCACGGCGCCGGCCCCGCUCCCAGGGACAGGGACAGAAUGCCAGAGGGAUGGAAUGGACAGAGCUCCGGGCUGGCAGAGCCUCAAAUCAUCCCAGCCCAAGAGGCAAAUUCAUCAUUCCCCACUAACACUGGAACUCCAUCCAGGGAUGGAGCUCAUGGAGAGCAGAGAACUGGGAGUAAAUACCUGAUUAAACCUGCAGCUCAAUAUUUAAACACUUGGAUGAGACGAGGCCAUUUCCCAUCAAAUCUGGGCCUCUUGGAUACCCCGGAUUUGGGAAUGCUUAAGGCUCCCUCCCACAGGUGUUCAAGCUCAUGCAGUGUUUAGUGAAGUUGUAUUGUUUUUUUUUUUGAGGGGGGGAGUAGAAUUAGAUCAGAAGUUCAUUAAGGGGAAAAAAUACAUGAAAUAACUAAAACCUGCUUAAUCACCAGGACAAAAGCAUUCCCGUUUUUCCAGCCCCGGCUUUAGUCGCCGAGGCUGAGCAAAAUAAGCUGCUUACUGUUAAAUCAGAGGUGUCUUUUGUUCAGGCUGUUCUUUAACACAAAACUUCAUUUUUUUGGGGGGGAAACUCAUCAGAAAAACAUAUUUUCUCUGAUGCUGGGAAUCAAUUGUUCCUCCGAGGAUCAAGCCACGUGCUGUCGGAGCCACAGAUUUGGUGGAGAAACGCCGGGGAAGAUUUAAUUAAAAAAACAAAAAAGAAACAAA
Molecule: long non-coding RNA, 1615 nt
Organism: Neopelma chrysocephalum (saffron-crested tyrant-manakin)
Lineage: Eukaryota; Metazoa; Chordata; Aves; Passeriformes; Pipridae
Exons: 2
Source: RefSeq, a predicted model, not a curated record